RNAcentral lists this ribosomal RNA (301 nucleotides) under uncultured bacterium. RNAcentral's name for it is "partial 16S ribosomal RNA". It matches the Rfam family "Bacterial small subunit ribosomal RNA", at positions 509 to 807 of the family's 1533-position model. The record is from RNAcentral.
CAGCCGCCACGGGAAUACGAAGGGCGCAAGCGUUAAUCGGAAUUACUGGGCGUAAAGCGUGCGUAGGCGGUGAGUUAAGUCUGCUGUGAAAUCCCCGGGCUCAACCUGGGAAUGGCAGUGGAUACUGGCUCGCUAGAGUGUGUCAGAGGAUGGUGGAAUUCCCGGUGUAGCGGUGAAAUGCGUAGAGAUCGGGAGGAACACCAGAGGCGAAGGCGCCUGACUGGCCAAACAUUGACGCUAAGGCGCGAAAGCGUGGGUAGCAAACAGGAUUAGAGACCCCGGUAGUCCCUGUCUCUUAUAC